CUACGGGUUGCAGCAGUGGGGAAUAUUGGGCAAUGGGCGAAAGCCUGACCCAGCAACGCCGCGUGAAGGAAGAAGGCUUUCGGGUCGUAAACUUCUAUCCUAGGUGAAGAUAAUGACGGUAGCCUAGAAGGAAGCCCCGGCUAACUACGUGCCAGCAGCCGCGGUAAUACGUAGGGGGCAAGCGUUGUCCGGAAUGAUUGGGCGUAAAGGGCGCGUAGGCGGCCAUGUAAGUCCGAUGUGAAAGUCCUGCUUUUAAGGUGGGAAUUGCAUUGGAAACUGGAGGGCUUGAGUGCAGGAGAGGUAGGUGGAAUUCCCGGUGUAGCGGUGAAAUGCGUAGAGAUCGGGAGGAACACCAGUGGCGAAGGCGACUUACUGGACUGUAACUGACGCUGAGGCGCGAAAGUGUGGGGAGCAAACAGGAUUAGAUACCCUUGUAGUC
RNAcentral lists this ribosomal RNA (439 nucleotides) under uncultured bacterium. RNAcentral describes it as "partial 16S ribosomal RNA". It matches the Rfam family "Bacterial small subunit ribosomal RNA", at positions 339 to 795 of the family's 1533-position model. The record is from RNAcentral.